This is a long non-coding RNA of Lytechinus variegatus (green sea urchin), 1361 nucleotides long. RefSeq lists it as uncharacterized. Lineage: Eukaryota; Metazoa; Echinodermata; Echinoidea; Temnopleuroida; Toxopneustidae. The record is from RefSeq and is a predicted model, not a curated record. The transcript is spliced from 4 exons.
GGAGGUCAUUUUUUUCCUGGAUGAAGAUAAUGUCUUGUCUUGUCUUUCCAUUGGGAAUCUCUGAAGCAGCUGUUGUUCCAAGUACAACCAGGCUGUAUAGCUGUAGAAUCUGUUACACCUGUAGAUGUCCAUACCUAUCAAAGAUUGGUCUUUAUAUAUUCAUCAGAGGAUACACAGUAGACGAUCUCACCAUCCUCGACAUCGAGGCGUCAUCCAUCAGAAAAUUAAGAAGCAGUAGUUCCAAGUACAACCACGCUGUAGCUUAGGAGAUCUGCUGUACAGUUCUGGAGACGUUCCUAACUGUCCCAGAUUUAUCUUUAUAGUAUUCGUUAGAGGGCACAGUCACACGAGACGAUCUCAUCAUCCUCGACAUCGAGGCGUCAUUCAUUAGCGCAAGAAUUGACCUGAUGUUGACAAAGAAUUAUACCUCGUUGAUUACGAUCGUUGGCUGCCUAUAAUGCUUCAGAGCCAACGACUGGAUGGAAGUUGUAAAGGCCCCGGGUUACACAUCACUAUCCAUGCGGCCUUGACAGCGAAUAAUGGAACAGAUUUUCAUCAGGAGGAGAUGGCGGUUCAGGUGGAUAGGAGAAUGUUGCUUGGAAAGCAUUCGCAUGAGUGUUAUUUCGGUGAGGUGAGAUCUGACGACAUUGUUGACCGCCAGAUUUGAUUUUCUUCUUGAGAGGAUCCAGUUUUACCAUGAGAACGAUGUGGAUAAUGAUGGACAUCGAUCGACGAAUCUACCUUUCCGAUACAGGGUUAGAUGGUUUAAAAGUUUGUCACCCGAUGCUGUACGUCUUUAAAUGCACAAGCAAAAUCUUCGCUUUAUGCACACGCGUCUUAGCCAUAGAUCAAUCGUCAAGCAAAAUGCUACCAGGCAGUUAGCAAUUGCUUGAGCUUACUAGCAAAAGCAUUUGUUGCUCAUUGUUAUGUAUACGGAAUCAAAAGCCUAUAGCAAAAGCAAUGGCUACAUUUUCAGUAUAUACCUAUGUAUACACUGCCCGUCAUGAACGCAUGAUCAUUAUAUAUGGCUGGAAAGAAUAUCUUCUCAAAAAUUAUUUGCUAUCACAUCUACGUGCUAUGUCUUCACGUUUGGAUAAUCAAUAGGUAUAUUAUUUGCAUUGAUGUUAAUUUUGAUUUGCACCAAAGUAAGGCAUGACUGCAACGAAUGAAUCCAGAUGCCAGUGAUCGAUGUAAUAAUGAUGAGUCAGGAAACAUACUUGCAAGUCCAUUUUUAAUGAAAUUGACUGGAGCAUUGAUACUAAAAGUGGUUUGUAAGCAAUUAUAAUGUCAAUUAUUGAAAAAAUUUGAAAUGGAUGUUAUUGCAACCCUUGUAGGAUUAUGACAUCAUUGACAUCUGGGAC